Long non-coding RNA from Vicia villosa (hairy vetch), 1047 nucleotides. RefSeq lists it as uncharacterized. NCBI's taxonomy places the organism in Eukaryota, Viridiplantae, Streptophyta, Magnoliopsida, Fabales, Fabaceae. The record is from RefSeq and is a predicted model, not a curated record. The transcript is spliced from 6 exons.
UAAAAAAAAAAAAAAAAAAGCUAAAAAUGCUUCUUCGGUGAAAGCAAAUGACUUAUUCAGAAACGCUUCUUCGGAGAAGCACUUUUUCUCACGGGAAUUGUCUCAAGCUUUCGGUUUCUCUUUUGUGCGACACUCUCUCAAACUCAUGCUUUCUCCCUCUCAACUCUUACACAACAACAACUACGACGCAGAUUCUCUUGGUCUCGAAUUGGUUGGAUUUGGAUUUCAGAACUGAUUCGAAUUGUUUUCGACUCAGGAUUUGAUUCGCUUUGGGGGUUCAGAUUCUGUUUGUGCUCGAAAUUUCAACUCAGAGCAGUUUGAGUUAAAGUUACAGCAAGCAUACGAUAUCAUAAAGCUGAGAAUGGAGGAAUGCUUACCGGUUGAAGCGACGAGGAAAAGAAAAUGCAGCUUUCAAUCUUGCUCACAAGUUAAAUCCUAGGUUUUUGGGGACUCCUCCACCUGGAUGGAAGCCUGGAGACAGCAUUUCACCGGAACAUGUUACUAGGAAUGAGCUCAGGGAGAUAAGGGAGGAAAUAAUUAAGUUGAAACGAGAUAUGCUGGAUCUCAAAUCAAAAAAAGAAGAGGAAGCCUUGGCUAUUGUGGUUACUUCUAGUCCUUGUUUGUCAAGUGUGAACUAUAGGGACUAUGAUUCUCAGGUUUCUAAGCAGCAGGAGAUUUAUGCUGAGCUGGUUCAUAAAAAGGCUAGAGUUGAAGAACAGCUAAAAGAAAUUACUGACUUUGAAUGACAUGGAGCAAGCUUAAGCAUGAGACGGCGUACAAUUUUAGACCCUACACUUGUCCUUAUGUCGGAUCAGAAUGCCCCGCUGCAGGUGAUAUUAACUUCCUCGUUGCACAUUUGAGGGAUGAUCAUAAGGUCGACAUGCAUACAGGAUACACAUUCAACCAUCGUUAUGUGAAGUCAAAAUCACAUUUGAGCAUUUGGAUGUGCUGCUAAGCCUUUUUUUAUGCCAGAAAGUAUAAUGUUAUUAAUGUUUGUUUUGAAAAGUCACCAUUAAUUAGAAAUUAUUAUUAUUGGUUUUAUCAUAA